GUGGAUUAGAUACCCUGGUAGUCCUAGCCGUAAACGAUGUAGACUUGGCGUUGGCGGGUUUAAAUCCGUCGGUGCCGAAGCAAACGCGAUAAGUCUACCGCCUGGGGGGUACGGCCGCAAGGUUAAAACUCAAAGGAAUUGACGGGGGCCCGCACAAGCAGCGGAGCGUGUGGUUUAAUUCGAUGCUACACGAAGAACCUUACCAGGGUUUGACAUGUAGGUGGUAGUGAAACGAAAGUAGAACGACCCUUCGGGGAGCCUGCACAGGUGCUGCACGGCCGUCGACAGCU
Molecule: ribosomal RNA, 290 nt
Filed under: uncultured bacterium
Lineage: Bacteria
Description: partial 16S ribosomal RNA
Rfam family: Bacterial small subunit ribosomal RNA
Source: RNAcentral